RNAcentral lists this microRNA precursor (103 nucleotides) under Chlorocebus sabaeus (green monkey). Its description in RNAcentral is "miRNA (ENSCSAG00000024809.1)". The stretch from base 1 to 84 matches the Rfam family "mir-548 microRNA precursor family". Lineage: Eukaryota; Metazoa; Chordata; Mammalia; Primates; Cercopithecidae. The record is from RNAcentral.
UAUUAGGUUGGUGCAAAAGUAAUUGUGGUUUUUGCCAUUGAAAGUAAUGGCAAAAACUGCAAUUACUUUUGUACCAGCCUAAUAAAUCAUCCACCCGACCAAA